Molecule: ribosomal RNA, 253 nt
Filed under: uncultured bacterium
Lineage: Bacteria
Description: partial 16S ribosomal RNA
Rfam family: Bacterial small subunit ribosomal RNA
Source: RNAcentral
UACGGGGGGGGCAAGCGUUGUUCGGAAUUACUGGGCGUAAAGGGCUCGUAGGCGGCCAACUAAGUCAGACGUGAAAUCCCUCGGCUUAACCGGAGAACUGCGUCUGAUACUGGAUGGCUAGAGGUUGGGAGAGGGAUGCGGAAUUCCAGGUGUAGCGGUGAAAUGCGUAGAUAUCUGGAGGAACACCGGUGGCGAAGGCGGCAUCCUGGACCAAUUCUGACGCUGAGGAGCGAAAGCCAGGGGAGCAAACGGG